CAAUAUUUUAUUUGAAGUUGAAGUAAUGAUGAUGAAGCAAUGCUAUUUGUAUCUACCUCAAUUUAGAAUGGAAGGAGUAACUAAGAUAAGAAAGAUCAAAUGGACUUUUCCUUGGAAGUUCGAACCACCGAAAGCGCCGGGCAGCGCCGCCUGUAUAACCGCGUCUCCGCCGGGCCUGGCCCUGCCCAUGGAUUAAAUUUUGCCCCGGCAAGUGGCCGACUAGCUCAAAAGAUUUCCAUGGCUGCACCCGGUGGUCAUCCACACCAACUAUAGACAAAUGAAAUCAGGUGGCCAAUCGUGGCUGGGUUUGGGUUUCACCGGAUAAUUCCAUUCCAAGUUGCAGGGAAGAAACCACGGAAAUGGGAGCCGUUGAGAAUAUGGUGUGCAGAUGUGAGUGGCUGGCUUCUCGCGCAAACUGCUGCGCUGCCCUGGUCACGCCCGUUGUUGGCAGCGCAAAGAGAGGACCGGCCGACGGUGUCUGUCUGACUGUACCAGUUAAACAAAGGGUGGCAAUUGGCAAUGCUCAAAACACGAAAGUAUAUAUCUGCAUUUUUAUUGUACGAUCAUAAAAACAAAAUAUCAUGUAAGAUCAUAAUAAAUUAAAUUAAUAUAGAAAUCCAAAUAUUUAAGGUAACCUGCAUAUAUAGCCUGUCGUUUGUCUGAUAAACCACAUCUGAAAGUAUUGUCACUAAUUUUUUUUAGAAAAAAACACUGCUAAGUGAUUAGCAGAUUCGGCGAAUAAGGUCAAACGAACAAACCCUAUAAUGGUGACAAAACCAAGCAUACUUAGGCCUUGUUUAGAUGUGAAUUUUUUUGGAUUUCGCUACUGUAGCACUUUCAUUUGUUUGUGGCAAAUAUUGUUCAAUCAUGGACUAACUAGGAUCAAAAGAUUCAUCUCGCGAUUUAUAGAUAAAUUGUACAACUAGUUUUUUCGUCUAUAUUUAAUGCUUCAUGCAUGUGCUAUAAAAAUCGAUGUGACGGAAAAUUUUGAAAACUUUUUGGUUUUUGGUGAACUAAACAAGGCCUUAGCGAGAUGCACACUAGUCUAGCUUGACUGCUACAUUGUAAGGGCUGAAAUAUGAACCUGACUCUAGUAAUAUCUUUUUUUUUUCUUUUUUUACGGAUGACCCUAGUACUACUAUACCAAACGUAUAGCAAGUAGAAAUUUAUAUAAAGCGAAAGUAUGCAUGUAGCGUAUAUGUAUCAUUCACUGGAAAGGAAAUAAAUCCUAACUACAAAUCGGUCACUAGAGCAUCUCCAAGAGAUUAGGCAAAUUUACUGAUUUAGCUAGUUUGUAAAAUAGAUUUAACAAAAAACAGAUUAAGUACUCAAACACACUAUGUAAAACCAAGAGUCUAGUAGAUGGCUAGUGAGGUAGGCUAUAUAAAAGUAGAGAGCAAAUAAGGUGAGAUGGAGAGCUACUAAGUUUGGAGUGUCAUUUACAUAGUCUGUUGGAGAUAAUUUUCCUUCAAUAUUAACUAAAUUUAUUUUAACAAUAAUUUAGCUAAUCUCUUAGAGAUGCUCUUAAGAAACAUAUCAAACCUGAAACAUGCCUAGCCGUGCAUAUGGCCAAGGUGAAGAUACGUGGGUCCUAGACGUCAUUGCCUGGUUUGUAUGAGCUUAGCCAGAACAGGUAAAGAGCCAGCCCAGUAGGUGUUGUUUGAUGUGUGUUGUUUCCCUGUAGAGCCACACUAGAUAGGGAUUUUGUUUGUUUACCUGUCAUGUGAUAUGUGGUCACUGAACUAGCAUUUGGUAUAAUUACCACCCAGCUAUUUUCCUUCUUUUGUUUGAGACAUUUUUACGAACAGAUUCAACACACAAGUUGUUCCAUGGCUGCUCAUGUCGUUGCCCUCCAUGGCAACCUCCAUGUUCACUGCUCAUGUGUGGUCUUGCUACUUCUAUCUACCACCUCCAUCACCGUUGAGGCGAAACCCUAGCUCGCUUGGGUAGACAACCACAGACACACCUCUAGCGGCAAGCGCAGCCCAAAGCUACAUCUCUCUCGACAACAACCACAACCACCAUCAUAACUCACCAGCCUCCUCGCACCUCGCGAUCAACGAGAAUUUGUCAUCCCUAGUAAAAAAACAUUAUUCACUGAUUUAUUGCGAGAGAAAAACACUAAUGAAUAACUAGCAUAUUGAAC
This 2146-nucleotide long non-coding RNA is filed under the name Sorghum bicolor (sorghum). RNAcentral describes it as "long non-coding RNA (SBIC_LNC001514)". Lineage: Eukaryota; Viridiplantae; Streptophyta; Magnoliopsida; Poales; Poaceae. The record is from RNAcentral.